Molecule: long non-coding RNA, 26196 nt
Filed under: Citrus sinensis (sweet orange)
Lineage: Eukaryota; Viridiplantae; Streptophyta; Magnoliopsida; Sapindales; Rutaceae
Description: long non-coding RNA (CSIN_LNC000321)
Source: RNAcentral
AUUCAAAUUACACGGUUAAUAAUAUUCAAGUGAUCACUAGGAGAAAAGCAGAUUGCAGCGGAGCAACAAGAGCUGGUCAUGUUGGGAAUUUGAAUUACCCUUCAUUGUCUGCAGUGUUUCAACAAUACGGCAAGCAUAAGAUGUCUACGCAUUUCAUUAGGACGGUGACUAAUGUUGGAGAUCCUAAUUCGGCUUACAAAGUUACAAUCAGGCCACCCAGUGGCAUGACAGUGACAGUGCAGCCGGAGAAGCUUGUGUUUAGGCGGGUGGGACAGAAAUUGAACUUUCUGGUUAGAGUUGAGGCAACGGCAGUUAAGCUCUCCCCCGGGAGCUCAAGCAUGAAGAGUGGUAAAAUAGUAUGGUCAGAUGGGAAGCACAAUGUCACUAGUCCCAUAGUCGUGACAAUGCAGCAACCUCUCUAGUUUUGGUAUCCUAGGGAUUUUCGGGUUUUAGGAAUUUUGCCUAUCUUAAUAUAUAGGAUUAUUAUGAAUCAUCUCCUAAUUAUGGUCUAUAUAAAUGUAUAAUGAGAAUGUAUUUGUGGGUGUUUUCUAUUUCAGAAAGCUGCUGGUGGAGUGAAAAAAAGAAGCUUGGGAUGAAGAUGUACUUUGUAUCUUAAUAUAUGUUUUGUUGUAAGGUGAAGAAUCAAAAAUGGUUGUGUAAAAAAAAAAAUCCUGUGUGUGUUAAGACAAUGUCGAGAGUAAUGAAAAAGGUCUCUCUUUUUCAUAUUUUAAAAAUACUGUGUGUUGAAUCUUCAACUAAUUCUGCUUUGUUUAUGGCUUCUUGGUGGUGACUGGUGAAAGCAUGUGGGGAAGGUUGAUAUUCUAUUAAAAGUAUGAAUGUGCUUUACAAACUAAAGGCAAUCAUUAAGACAAAAAUAAUGUGGGGUAACUUGACUCAUUGAAUGUCUCUUUUCUUUUCCACAUUUUUAUUUUUUGCAUUUAAUUAAUGUUGUACUAGUUCUGGGGGUACGCCCAUGUGCUUCCAAGAAAAAAACAGAGCAUUUAGGGCUAACCUUAAAUCUGGAUUAGAACAUAAAUGUAAUGAUUAUGUAUAUAUGAACAUGAAUAUAAUAUCCCGUCAAUCGAGUUUUAGAAGAUUCGGAACAAAGUUGAAAGCUUGAUUAUGUGUUAUGGGAUGUAGAACAAGAAUCUUAUAUGUUCAGUACUGAUUACAGGACAGUGACAAUGGACAUCAUCAAUAUUAAUUGUUGAGGAUGACAAAUCACCCGUUAGUUAAUUGAAAGCCAGAUAGCAGGAAAAUUAACGGGUUGCUUUACAGCCAUGGACCAUGAUUCUAAGAAUCUAAGCUGGCUUUGUCUGUUCCACUAGGCUCAUCAUAAUCAUGAUGUCUCUCGUUCCUAUCUUCUUUCAUGAACGCGGUUUUUAUCAGUAUUCAUUUAUUUAAAGGGGGGGAAAAAAUUAGGUUAAGAAAUUUGAUCAGCUCUUUACAAGGUUCGAUAGCAGGCCAAGUAAGGUUUCCACAAUCUCAGCCAAAUUUGCAGUCACAUGUCUUCAAGCUACAAAUGACAUUUUUGAUCCGGUUAGUAUCGAUUUAGAUUCAAUACUGAGUUAAGAGUUUUAUGAGCCUCUUUAUAAUAUUGUGAUUGAUAAUAAUUAGAUUUGAAAAAAGUAAUAGUUUGCACAUUAAUACUAUAAAUAGACGCGUGGUAAAAGAUUAAGUUAAGUAUUACUUAACAAGGCACUGAAUUAAUGAAUUUAAAUUCCAUUUGUACAUAACUAUUUUCUAAAUUUUCAUGACCUAAUCACGAUAGUUUGUUGUAAUGCAUGAAAGAGGGCCAGAGGGGAGAGAGCCUUAGAUAAGACAAUUCUAAUUUGCUCAUUCAGCUCAAUAGAAUCAUGUCACAUUUGUUAUAUUCUCUCUCUCACAUGUUCAUAGUAAAGAUUUUAUUGGAUCUGUGGAUGGCCGUAUUUGUCCCAAAAAAAGAAAAAAGAAAAAAGAAAAAGAAAGAAAAUACAAUUUUAAAUUUAAUGGGCCUUUUACUAUCCAAAAAAUAAAAUAUAAUGGGCCUACUGAAAAGAUCCCCAUUGGAGACCAACAGUCUUUUCGUGGGCCAAAUGGCAGGGCGGGCUGAAUGUAAAUUGUGAUCAUAGCUGCAAGGAAGAAGGCACAAAUUGCAAACCCACGAAAAAGCAAGCCACAUCACAACACAGCUUCACAAAAAUGGUACGCAGUCGUUUCAUUUUCGUCACUACAUAUAUUCUGUUGGCAUUUAACCUCAUUAUAUGGCUGCAACUAUCGUGAACCUCUCGAAGGACCAAAAAAAUUAUGACCCAAGGCAUUAGCUACACGCAUGAUAUAGUUUUGUGCAUAUAUAUUCUGCAGAUUCCAAAAGGUUUACAUCAACAUCUUAUGAUCUUGUGAAUUGUGAUAUAAAGAGUAUAUAGCCUAUAGCUAGGUGGUCCUGGUAAUUGGGUUGUUACUUUUAUUACAUAGUACAGUGUGAUAUAAUAUAUAUAUAUAGCCGAUGGCUUCCUUAUCUGCUUGUUGCAUGACAAUGACAUAUAUAUAAUCCUUCCAAAUGAAUAGCUAGAUAUCGCCGCUUCACAAAUAAUUUCUUGGUAUAUAUGCCACCGCGGUUUUGAAUGUUUUCUUGUUUUUGAUGGCAGUAUCAUUGGAGCUUCACUAUUCUCCAUGAAAUUAGUCUUUAAAUCUUGUUUCAUUGGAAGUUAAUAAACUGAUGCUAUCAAGAAAACUUUCAAAACCACGAUAGCCUACGAUUUGUUGCUAGUUAUAGUAUGUCCAUUAGGUUCACAACUUGUACUAAAAUUUAACAAAUGGUUACUUUUUAAAUAAAGACUAAUUUCGAAUUACCCUCCUAAAUAAAUAAAAAUUUUCAAAAUAUUUCUCAACUAUUGUAAACCUCAAAUUAUUCCUAUUUUUGUUAUUAAAAAAAGAUUACAUUAAAAAAAAAAUUCAUCAACCUACGCUCAUUUUUCCUUAUCUUUUCUUUUGAAUAAAAAUAGGAUUUAGUUAAAGUUUAUGAUGGUUUUAAGGGUAUCUGGAAAAUUAGUAUUUUAUGAAGGAAAAUCUGAAAUUUAUCUUAUUACGUUUUGACACAUGUAAAAUAUGAGCUAAAACACAGUUAUAUACUUUUGUACAAAAUAUGACACUUUAGUUAAUUAAAUUAAUUAACUCUUUGCCCACAUGAUAAUUUUUAUUGUUUAUAUUUUUAUCUAACGAAUAAAUUUAGACUAAAUUAAUUUGUGUGGAUUAUGUCAUGGGUAUCUUUCACUUGGGCACACCGGCUAAGCAUAAUCUUGCAACUUCUUUGUUGGAGGAGCCCCAAGCAAAUUUGGAAAUUUUUAUCAAAAGGAAAUUUAAAAAACAGAAGUUUCCUGGUUAGCAUAGCACCACAAAGUAGAAAAGCUUAUUUAUGUGAGAUGAGCCGGCGUACCUCGUUAUCUGUGCACGCAUCAAUAUUGUCUCUCCCGAAUUUUUAUUUGGCAAAUAAAUUAUAUAGCAAGCAAGAUUAUGGUCUUACUUUUACUCGCCGCCUUUAACUUUUGUUCAAACUAUUUCGACAUUUGAGUCCUUCUAAAUGUUGGCAAAUUUGGGUCACAUAUGAAUCCUUCAAAUAAAUGACACAACAAAGCAUUCCAUACUUAUAUUCAACUUUAAUUUUUGUUAAUCUCUAUCAAUAUUUCCAUAUUCAACAAGUACAUCUCAUCUUGUGAUAAGAGUGAAGGUGGUCCUGGAUAUUGGCUUGGUCGUUACUUUCAUAGAUAGUACACUGUGAUAUAUACUUGAUGCCUUCAUUCAUUUUCCUUCUUCUCUUUCAGCGUAUGCAUGAUAAUGACAUAAUCCUUCACAAUGAAUUCUACCAGAUAGUCUUGCGCACGUCCUCAUUUUUCUAGUAUACACUUCUAAUCGAAUCAGUUUUUAAUAUUAUUAAACUGCGUGACUAACAACGCGCUCGUAUUAAAAUAAAAAUAAAAAUACUCACACUAGAGAAUGAAUGAUUUUAUAUAUAAAUUCAUAGAGAUUAGUAAGCUCCAACUAAUAAUACCGCCAUCAAAAACAAGAAAACGUUCAAAACCACGGUAGCCUUCGAUUUGUAACCAUAUAAAAUAUAGUAUGUCCGUUAGGUUUACAACUUGCUCUUAAUAGCUAAUAAUCAUUUGGUGGGCUAAUCAAGUGAUUACUUUGUAAUAAAUUUUUUUUGACAUUGUUGAGUACAUAAAAGCACCAGGUCGGCCAUGCUAUUGUUUCCGCCCCAGCACGGAUCGCUUCAGCCGAGUGAUGCGAGCAGAACACGGGGGCAAGCCUUGGCCGUACAGCAGCGAUGAAGAAGGGGACCGAAAAAAUUGAGAGAGGGAAAACGCUGCCAAAUUGCAACCAGACCAUUUUCUUGANNNNNNNNNNNNNNNNNNNNNNNNNNNNNNNNNNNNNNNNNNNNNNNNNNNNNNNNNNNNNNNNNNNNNNNNNNNNNNNNNNNNNNNNNNNNNNNNNNNNNNNNNNNNNNNNNNNNNNNNNNNNNNNNNNNNNNNNNNNNNNNNNNNNNNNNNNNNNNNNNNNNNNNNNNNNNNNNNNNNNNNNNNNNNNNNNNNNNNNNNNNNNNNNNNNNNNNNNNNNNNNNNNNNNNNNNNNNNNNNNNNNNNNNNNNNNNNNNNNNNNNNNNNNNNNNNNNNNNNNNNNNNNNNNNNNNNNNNNNNNNNNNNNNNNNNNNNNNNNNNNNNNNNNNNNNNNNNNNNNNNNNNNNNNNNNNNNNNNNNNNNNNNNNNNNNNNNNNNNNNNNNNNNNNNNNNNNNNNNNNNNNNNNNNNNNNNNNNNNNNNNNNNNNNNNNNNNNNNNNNNNNNNNNNNNNNNNNNNNNNNNNNNNNNNNNNNNNNNNNNNNNNNNNNNNNNNNNNNNNNNNNNNNNNNNNNNNNNNNNNNNNNNNNNNNNNNNNNNNNNNNNNNNNNNNNNNNNNNNNNNNNNNNNNNNNNNNNNNNNNNNNNNNNNNNNNNNNNNNNNNNNNNNNNNNNNNNNNNNNNNNNNNNNNNNNNNNNNNNNNNNNNNNNNNNNNNNNNNNNNNNNNNNNNNNNNNNNNNNNNNNUACGGUACAGCAGGGAGCGAGACCAGAUAGCUGCGCGUGAUCCGAACCGUGCUAUAGAAUUGGAGGGGGAGCUGCGCAGGUUGGCGCAGGUGAUAGAGGAGAUACAGGGCAAGAGAAAGCCCCCAAGCUGGAGGAUAAUGUUAGAUGAAGAAUCUCCGUUAUCAACUGAGAUCAUGAGUACCAUAAUCCCAAGAGAUUUCCGCUUCCCCGACCUCAAAUACUCCGGGCGAAAUGUCCCAUUGGUGCACAUUGAGCGUUUCAACGAUAUGACGGGUGUGCAGGGGCUGACAUCAGCUCAGAGGUGCAGGGCGUUCCCGUUGACACUAGAGGGACGAGCUCGAGAAUGGUACCGCAAGCUGCCCCGAGGAAGUAUAAAGGGGUAUGAGCAGAUGUGCCAGGAGUUGGCCGAGCAGUUCCGAGGGGCAGUGGCCCCAGAGGACGACAUGAUGGAACUGAUGGGGAUGAAACAGGAGGAGCAUGAAUCCCUUCGAGAUUUUGUAAAAAGAUAUCACCGAGCCGUACUGGAUCUGGGAGCUUUUAAUCACCCGCAGGGCUUCAGGGAUGGGCGGAAUAUCAGCUCGGUCCCGCCCUUACCCCAUAGCUCCGAGAGCACAACAGUUCCAACACAGCCGGGCUCAACCUCCGCGCCCCCCGAUCCCAGAGCGGCAGCGAGAAUUCCGGCAGAUGGCUGCCCACCCCUAUCACAACACUCCCAGAGCAUCACAUGCAACCAAUUCUAGGGCUAGUCGACCAGAUCAGUUAGCGACUGUGCCAGCCCGAGGUGACAUUCAUGAUAACCGAGCAGUUCAGCUGAUAGACCAGAGCUUGGCGUAUAGACAAUACACUCUGUUAAAGAUCUCCAUGGAGGAAUUGUAUGAGAGGAUCGAGGGACGAGGCUUGCUGUACCCUCUAGUCCCAAUAACAAAACCGACUCACCGACGGGAUAAGAGCAGAUUCUGCAAGUUCCACGACACUCACGGUCACACUAUCAGCCAAUGUCGGGACCUGAAGAUUCAGGUGGAGGAUUUGGUGAGGAACCGAUACUUGGACGAGUAUGUAGAUGGAAUGUCCCCUGUCAUGGAAUCACAAUAUACACGGGAUGAAGGGGUUGAGAGGGAUUUGGAACGUGAACAGCCGACCAUCCGUGUAAUAGCAGGAGGGCCAACAUUGGCCGGGGAUUCGAACAGGGCACGGAAGAACUAUGGGAGAUAUGCCAUGACUAGCAAAGAAGUGCUUUUCAAUUUGCCGGCAACCAAGAAGGUAAAAGUGCGGCAAGUUCCCAUUAUGUGGACAGAUGACGAUGAAGAGGGUAUCUUAUAUCCGCACGAGGAUGCAUUGGUGAUCAAGGCAAUGGUGGCCGGUACAGAAUUGCGACGAAUACUAGUAGACACAGGCAGCUCAGUUGACAUCCUGUUUAAGUCGGCUCUAGAUGAUAUGGGGAUUGCAGACUUGAAAUUGGAGCGGACAAAUACAUCCUUAAAGGGAUUUGGAGGGGGACGGUUAACUCCCCUGGGGAUUAUCGAACUCCCAAUUACUAUGGGGACGAAGCCAUUUGAAAGAACAAUGAUGCUGGAUUUAGUCGUGGUAGAGGAAAGAAGCCCUUACCAGAUGAUACUGGGGAGACCAUUCAUGAGGAUAAGUCAAUGCGUUGUAUCCACGCAUUACUUGGCACUGAAAUACAGAGUAAAUGGGGUGGUUGGCGUAGUAAAAGGCGACCAGAGGAUGGCAAGGAGCUGUUAUGCUACAGCGGCCAAGGAGACACUACAGGUUACUUCUCUAGAUAAUCGAGGAGAGUCCAAAAAGGGCCGCCAAGAGCCUGUUGAGAAACUGGAGGAAGUUGCGGUAAGCAAAAGCAACCCGAGCAGGGUAGUGAAGAUCGGGUCAGGAAUGGUUGAGGAGCAAAAUGGCGAGCAGAUAUGCUUGAGCCUGGACCUGCUGGAGGAGAAAAGGGAAGGGGCUUCGCAGAAAGUGGCCCAGUGUCAGCAAAGGGUCACGCGUUAUUACAACAAGAACGUACGCGUGAGGCAGUUCCGAACAGAAGAUUGGGUGCUCAGGAAGGUGAACCAAAACACCAGGGAUCCCAACCACGGAGCUCUUGGUCCAAAAUGGGAAGGCCCGUACAGGGUGAUACGAGCAACUGGAUCAGGAGCCUACAAGCUGGCGUAUCCAGACGGACGAGAGGUGAAGAGGUCGUGGAACGCCGAGCACUUGAAAAAGUACUUCCAGUAAGCAAAGUGCUAUACUAAUUGUCAUUGUGAUAAGUUAUUUCUGUUAUGAGCACGGUGAUUUGUGACACACACAGAUAUCCCACACUUCUGUAAUGCAUUCGAAAUUCAAUAAAGGUGAAUUCAGUAUGGAACCCUUCUGCUAGCAAGCCCAUUAAAUGCUUACUAAGGCAGCAAAGUGCCUGUUUCGGCUCGGUCAACAAAAGAACAGCAGCUAAAGCUUCUAAAAAUCUGCUAAGGCAAAAAGCGUUUGUUUCUGCUCGGUCAACGAAAGACCAGCAGCUAAAGCUUCGAAAAAUCUGCUAAGGCAAAAAGCUCUUGUUUCUGCUCGGUCAACGAAAGACCAGCAACUAAAGCUUCGAAAAUUCUACUAAGGCAACAAAGUGCCUGUUUCUGCUCGGUCAACGAAAGACCAGCAGCUAAAGCUUCGAAAAAUCUGCUAAGGCAAAAAGCUCUCUGUUUCUGCUCGGUCAACGAAAGACCAGCAGCUAAAGCUUCGAAAAUUCUACUAAGGCAACAAAGUGCCUGUUUCUGCUCGGUCAACGAAAGACCAGCAGCUAAAGCUUCGAAAAUUCUACUAAGGCAACAAAGUGCCUGUUUCUGCUCGGUCAAGGAGAGACCAACAGCUAAAGCUUCGAAUAUUCUACUAAGGCAACAAAGUGCCUAUUUCUGCUCGGUCAACGAAAGACCAGCAGCUAAAGCUUCAAAAAUUCUACUAAAGCAACAAAGUGCCUGUUUCUACUCGGUCAACGAAAGACCAGCAGCUAAACUUCGAAAAUUUUACUAAGGCGAACAGAUGCCUAUUCCUGUUCGAUGCACUAAAGAACCAACAGGCAAAACCAGACAAGAAAGCCAAUAGAGAGCAUUCAAAAAAUUUUAUAAACGUUCAAAUGUUUACAAAGCAAAUGAAAAACUAGAGUCUUUACAAAAAUAGACCUAAGGAUUAGGAGGAUCAACGGCCUCAGCAGGUGAAGGGUCAGCUAUCUCGGGAGGUGGAAGGUCAGCAAUAUCGGGAGGAGGAGGCACGGACCCCUGUCCCACUUCAAAAACACGCCGCCCAGCUUCUCCCUCCUGCACCCCAUCCAAAGGAGCCUCCACCUGCUCCUGCUCACCUUGCCCCUUAUCUGCUUGGUCGACCUCCGCCAUAUACCGCUGCACUCCGGCCUCCAAUUUGCUCAUGUCCAUCUCGGGAUAUUCUGUCUUAAGCACAGACAUGAUGCAUCUCCUCAGCCAGCUGCUCGCCCAAGGAUUUGAUUUCCCCCUCAAGGGCGGCCCUCAAAGUAUCCCUUUCAGCUUGAGUAGCCUGAAGAUCAGAUCUCAGGUCACCCAACUCGCCCUCGAGUAUGGAGGAAGUGGAUUCAGCAACCGCAACUUUCUCCUCUAGCUCCAUAAUCCGCUUGCUCAGCUCAGCCAGCUUCUCCUUGGAGCGAUCAGCAGAGUCGGCUUUCUUCUUCAAUUCCUGAAUGUCAGCUUGGAGCUUUUUCUCAUGGCGCGCGGACCCAAGCUUGUAGCACGAAACCAUGGUGGCCAGCCUGAAGGACACUCUCUGAACAGAAGUAGCUAGCUCGGAGAGAUUCAUACUCUCGAUGUCCUUCACCAUUUUGGGCCUCACCGAUCUCUUGUAAUCCUUCUGAUAUAGGCUCAGGUAGUCCGCUUGAUCCCGAGAAGGUAGAGGAGAAGGUCGGUCCCCAGCCUGGUAGCUGACCUCAGGACUCUUAUCAGAAGUUUUCUUGCCACCACUCUUGCGGGGUGGAGGAGGGGGCAGAGCAGGGACAGGAGCUUUGGAAGGGCCGACGCUGGACUUCUUUAGAGGAGGAGGGGGGUUGUUGGAGCUGCCUGGAGCCCGACCACGCUUCCUGCUCAUCGCGCUAAGGAUCGUGUUAUCCAUUCCAGCAGCUAGGACUACUAGGCCCGAACCGACCAGGUUUGUUGGUGACAGGAGAUCUUGGCAGGUAGAAGCGUUCAACAAAGCAGUUUCCACCUGAAGCAAAAGGUCGAUCUUCAAGCCCCCCAAUCAAACCCCACGACUCUGAAACAUCAAAAGAGGUUAAAGAACUCGAUAAGUGACAAUUUGACUAAAAACAUAGGUAAAAAUGAGCGACAUGGGGUGACAAAAUUCGUUGGAAGGUAAAUAUCACCACCCAACGAAUGAGCUGCUGGACACCAAUUUCCCCCAGCAAAGAAGAAUUUGUUCUUCCAAUUUUUGCACGAAGAGGGGAAGCCGGUGAUUGGUUUCCUCUUCGCAGAGCUCGACAUGAAAUAAUACCAGCCUGCUUCCUUCGGGCUACUCCUCAGCUGGUAUAGGUGCUUCACUUCAACAAGGGAGGACUCCUCUGAUCCACACCUCUCCCACAACACAUACAUAGCCGAGAGAACCCUCCAUCCGUUGGGAUGAAGCUGACCUGGGGCCAGGUGCAUACCACCCAGUAUCUUAGCAAAAUAGCGUUGAAGGGGCAGCCGAGCUCCCAAUCUGAAGCUCUCCAGAUGCAUCGUCACAUACCCCCACGGAGGCCGACUAGGAAUGUCGCCUUUCCCAGGAACUACCAGGAGAACCUCCACCGGAAUGUUGUAAAGGUUCCUCAGCUUGAAUAGAUCAGUUUGGGUGGUCGCAUAAGCUAUGAAGUCAAUAGGGUAAGAAUUCGCCUCCACCCUAUGACCAAGGUGCCUUCUCUGAGGGGGUCUGCUCGGUCCGGAACUACUCCCCUCACCAUCACCAACUCCUUCAGGGACCCCAACCCCACCAUAACUGUGGUUCUCACCAGAGCCCGACGCAGGUCCACCUCUAUUCCCUACAAGCUCUAGUUCGGGAGAGGGAGAGACAACCAAGGGUCGUGGGUAUUCAAGGGUAUCCCUCCCAUGAGAAGGACCUACACUACUAGAGGGACCUAAGAAAUCUGUGGGUAUUGACACGUUGAGGCCUGAAUCCCCUGAUUCUUCAUCACCCUCAUCAACAAUUAACUUUCUUUUCCGGUUUGACAUAUCNNNNNNNNNNNNNNNNNNNNNNNNNNNNNNNNNNNNNNNNNNNNNNNNNNNNNNNNNNNNNNNNNNNNNNNNNNNNNNNNNNNNNNNNNNNNNNNNNNNNNNNNNNNNNNNNNNNNNNNNNNNNNNNNNNNNNNNNNNNNNNNNNNNNNNNNNNNNNNNNNNNNNNNNNNNNNNNNNNNNNNNNNNNNCUACUAGGCCCGAACCGACCAGGUUUGUUGGUGACAGGAGAUCUUGGCAGGUAGAAGCGUUCAACAGAGUAGUUUCCACCUGAAGCAAAGGUCGAUCUUCAAGCCCCCCGAUCAAACCCCACGACUCUGAAACAACAAAAGAGGUUAAAGAACUCGAUAAGUGACAAUUUGACUAAAAACAUAGGCAAAAAUGAGCGACCUGGGGUGACAAAAUUCGUUGGAAGGUAAAUAUCACCACCCAACGAAUGAGCUGCUGGACACCAAUUUCCCCCAGCAAAGAAGAAUUUGUUCUUCCAAUUUUUGCACGAAGAGGGGAAGCCGGUGAUUGGUUUCCUCUUCGCAGAGCUCGACAUGAAAUAAUACCAGCCUGCUUCCUUCGGGCUACUCCUCAGCUGGUAUAGGUGCUUCACUUCAACAAGGGAGGGCUCCUCUGAUCCACACCUCUCCCACAACACAUACAUAGCCGAGAGAACCCUCCAUCCGUUGGGAUGAAGCUGACCUGGGGCCAGGUGCAUACCACCCAGUAUCUUAGCAAAAUAGCGUUGAAGGGGCAGCCGAGCUCCCAAUCUGAAGCUCUCCAGAUGCAUCGUCACAUACCCCCACGGAGGCCGACUAGGAAUGUCGCCUUUCCCAGGAACUACCAGGAGAACCUCCACCGGAAUGUUGUAAAGGUUCCUCAGCUUGAAUAGAUCAGUUUGGGUGGUCGCAUAAGCUAUGAAGUCAAUAGGGUAAGAAUUCGCCUCCACCCUAUGACCAAGGUGCCUUCUCUGAGGGGGUCUGCUCGGUCCGGAACUACUCCCCUCACCAUCACCAACUCCUUCAGGGACCCCAACCCCACCAUAACUGUGGUUCUCACCAGAGCCCGACGCAGGUCCACCUCUAUUCCCUACAAGCUCUAGUUCGGGAGAGGGAGAGACAACCAAGGGUCGUGGGUAUUCAAGGGUAUCCCUCCCAUGAGAAGGACCUACACUACUAGAGGGACCUAAGAAAUCUGUGGGUAUUGACACGUUGAGGCCUNNNNNNNNNNNNNNNNNNNNNNNNNNNNNNNNNNNNNNNNNNNNNNNNNNNNNNNNNNNNNNNNNNNNNNNNNNNNNNNNNNNNNNNNNNNNNNNNNNNNNNNNNNNNNNNNNNNNNNNNNNNNNNNNNNNNNNNNNNNNNNNNNNNNNNNNNNNNNNNNNNNNNNNNNNNNNNNNNNNNNNNNNNNNNNNNNNNNNNNNNNNNNNNNNNNNNNNNNNNNNNNNNNNNNNNNNNNNNNNNNNNNNNNNNNNNNNNNNNNNNNNNNNNNNNNNNNNNNNNNNNNNNNNNNNNNNNNNNNNNNNNNNNNNNNNNNNNNNNNNNNNNNNNNNNNNNNNNNNNNNNNNNNNNNNNNNNNNNNNNNNNNNNNNNNNNNNNNNNNNNNNGGAUUUGAUUUCCCCCUCAAGGGCGGCCCUCAAAGUAUCCCUUUCAGCUUGAGUAGCCUGAAGAUCAGAUCUCAGGUCACCCAACUCGCCCUCGAGUUUGGAGGAAGUGGAUUCAGCAACCGCAACUUUCUCCUCUAGCUCCAUAAUUCGCUUGCUCAGCUCAGCCAGCUUCUCCUUGGAGCGAUCAGCAGAGUCGGCUUUCUUUUUCAAUUCCUGAAUGUCAGCUUGGAGCUUCUUCUUAUGGCGCGCGGACCCAAGCUUGUAGCACGAAACCAUGGUGGCCAGCCUGAAGGACACUCUCUGAACAGAAGCAGCUAGCUCGGAGAGAUUCAUACUCUCGAUGUCCUUCACCAUCUUGGGCCCCACCGAUCUCUUGUAAUCCUUCUGAUACGGGCUCAGGUAGUCCGCUUGAUCCCGAGAGGGUAGAGGAGAAGGUCGGUCCCCAGCCUGGUAGCUGACCUCAGGACUCUUAUCAGAAGUUUUCUCCCCACCACUCUUGCGGGGUGGAGGAGGGGGCAGAGCAGGGACAAGAGCUUUGGAAGGGCCGACGCUGAACUUCUUUGGAGGAGGAGGGGGGUUGUUGGAGCUGCCUGGAGCCCGACCACACUUCCUGCUCAUCGCGCUAAGGAUCGUGUUAUCCAUUCCAGCAGCUAGGACUACUAGGCCCGAACCGACCAGGUUUGUUGGUGACAGGAGAUCUUGGCAGGUAGAAGCGUUCAACAAAGCAGUUUCCACCUGAAGCAAAAGGUCGAUCUUCAAGCCCCCCAAUCAAACCCCACGACUCUGAAACAUCAAAAGAGGUUAAAGAACUCGAUAAGUGACAAUUUGACUAAAAACAUAGGUAAAAAUGAGCGACAUGGGGUGACAAAAUUCGUUGGAAGGUAAAUAUCACCACCCAACGAAUGAGCUGCUGGACACCAAUUUCCCCCAGCAAAGAAGAAUUUGUUCUUCCAAUUUUUGCACGAAGAGGGGAAGCCGGUGAUUGGUUUCCUCUUCGCAGAGCUCGACAUGAAAUAAUACCAGCCUGCUUCCUUCGGGCUACUCCUCAGCUGGUAUAGGUGCUUCACUUCAACAAGGGAGGACUCCUCUGAUCCACACCUCUCCCACAACACAUACAUAGCCGAGAGAACCCUCCAUCCGUUGGGAUGAAGCUGACCUGGGGCCAGGUGCAUACCACCCAGUAUCUUAGCAAAAUAGCGUUGAAGGGGCAGCCGAGCUCCCAAUCUGAAGCUCUCCAGAUGCAUCGUCACAUACCCCCACGGAGGCCGACUAGGAAUGUCGCCUUUCCCAGGAACUACCAGGAGAACCUCCACCGGAAUGUUGUAAAGGUUCCUCAGCUUGAAUAGAUCAGUUUGGGUGGUCGCAUAAGCUAUGAAGUCAAUAGGGUAAGAAUUCGCCUCCACCCUAUGACCAAGGUGCCUUCUCUGAGGGGGUCUGCUCGGUCCGGAACUACUCCCCUCACCAUCACCAACUCCUUCAGGGACCCCAACCCCACCAUAACUGUGGUUCUCACCAGAGCCCGACGCAGGUCCACCUCUAUUCCCUACAAGCUCUAGUUCGGGAGAGGGAGAGACAACCAAGGGUCGUGGGUAUUCAAGGGUAUCCCUCCCAUGAGAAGGACCUACACUACUAGAGGGACCUAAGAAAUCUGUGGGUAUUGACACGUUGAGGCCUGAAUCCCCUGAUUCUUCAUCACCCUCAUCAACAAUUAACUUUCUUUUCCGGUUUGACAUAUCGUAGUCCCGAAAGAAAACAAAGAAAACUCGAAUAAACUGAUACAAAAGGGGGCAACACAAAACCCAAUCAACAACAACCAAAGCAGGAGUUAAAGGCUGUACCUGGAAUACACUGGCACUGAUAAUGUUGCUGUGAUGAAGGUAAAAUCCCGCAAACGGAAGUCCCAGACGCAGAGAGUGUGAACGAAGUUCGUAGGAAUUGACUCGCGACAGAAGAACGAAUAGAACGAAACAACGAGGAUUUGGGUCUAGGGAUUCGAAGGGAAAAGGGAAAUGAAAGCAUUUAAAUAAGGGAGAUUCCAGCUCACUCACCAAAUAUCGAGGGCAGAUAGCCCGUCGUUUCAAAUUUCAAAUGCGAAGAGUCUGGAAAGGCCACGUCACUAACCGUUACAAGAGGCCAAUUUAGAUGAAAGCCCAGAUAGACAAUGGAUACACUCAUUCAGGCCCAUGGUCAGGUCGGGAACCCCCCCAGAAGAAGAAUGAUGCCUCAGGCCAGUCCCAAUAAACAGAAGAUCAGAUGAGAAGCUCCCUGGGUUGGUAAGAUUUGACCAUCAGUUUCUACUCUUAACUCAUUUCACUCGCCAGACCAGAAACUGGGGGACUGGUGUUGAGUACAUAAAAGCACCAGGUCGACCAUGCUAUUGUUUCCGCCCCAGCACGGAUCGCUUCAGCCGAGUGAUGCGAGCAGAACACGGGGGCAAACAUGAGCCGACCAGAAAUGAGUACAACCAGGAAAACAUACCGACCAUAGGUAUAUACCGAGCCGAUACUCAUCCCCAAGAAAGCGGGAACACGAUCCCACAAAAUCGCGGUAGUUGCGCUUUUCCCAGAACCGUUGAAGGACACGCGAGACCCACGUUUGCCCACAAUGUAACAGUUAGAGCCCCAUGAGGGGCUGCCACCACCCGAAAAAGGGGGGAUGAAGGAUAAACGGAAAACGUGAGACAUGGGGCGGCUAUAAAAGGGAGAGAAAUCGAUGAAGAAGGGGACCGAAAAAAUUGAGAGAGGGAAAACGCUGCCAAAUUGCAACCAGGCCAUUUUCUUGCAAAUCUCGAAUAAUUUAGAAACCAUUUUUUGCACUGUUUUCCCGUAAACACCUUGAGCUAACUUAGGCAUCGGAGGGUUUACGCCGGCACAACCACCGGCGUCUCUGAUCCAUUUUUAGUGAGCGCAGGUCUAUUGAGGGAAAGGAGGACGAUUCCAAUCCCAGUGGUUCGAGCAACAUUAGAUAACACAAGCGUUGGUGAAAGAAUCUGAUCAGUCAAAGGCGUGCAGAUUGGAGGAAUCUGGUCGGUCAAAGGGCGAGCAUAUUUAAGCAUCAACAGACAUACAUGUAAAAUAUUAUAAAAUGAGUAUCUUCCACUUUUGCAUAAUAGAUAAGCAUAAUCUUGUACCUUCGUUGUUGAAGCCGUAACAAAAUUAGAAAGUAUAUUCAAAAGCAAAAAUAAAUUACGAGUUUAUUGGUUAGCAGUUGCACCAAAAAAUAAAUAAAAUAAAAUAAAAGCUUGAACGACAUUGGCAUAUCAAACUAUAUGUGCGCCGGCGUCCAAUAUACACACGCUUAUUUUAAAAUCAUACAAUCACAGUAAAGAAAGAAAAAUACUUUUAAAUACGUAAUAUAUUUUUAUAGGAAGAUCCCAUAGCCAUUAGAGAAAAAUGAAAUAUUGUCCCCUGAAUUUUUAUAUGCCAAAUAAUGAUAUAGUAACAUUAUGAUCGUACUUUCACAUGUCACAUGUCACAUGUCACAUUUGUACAAAUUAUUUUAAUAUUUCGAGUAGUUUUUAAGUAAUUUUAUUUAACGAUUUAAUUAAAUUUAAAUUUUAAAAAAGGAUUAAUAGUUAAUUUAAACAUCCUUCAUCGCUCCACCUUUUGGAUAGAAAACUAUUACAAUAUUUGAAGUCUUAAAUGUUGGCAAAUUUCGGUCACAAUACAAAAAAGCAUUCCAUAUUUCCAUUAAGCUUUUAUUUUAUUAAUAUCUAUCCAAUUAUAUCUCCAUUUUCCAACUUUUCAUAAUUCUACUUCAACCUCCAUUUGCGUAUAAAAUUUAUAUAAACUAUUUGCAAGUCUUAAAUAAGAGAUAAAUCCAAACAUUUUUUAAAAAAAAAUUCUGUAUGGGUCAAAUUUUAAUAAAUUAAAUUAAAAAAAUCUUGACUUUAUGAUCUUUCUUCAACGUCAGACAAUCGAGGGUCCACGAGAAAGAAAUCGCAUGUCUUUAAUGAGCAGUCGCGUAACCUCUGCUUUGGUUCAUGAUCGACUGAUCAUAGACGUUCAAUUCGAUCAGUCAAAAAAUUAGGCAGCAAUUGGUCAACACGAUAUUUUGUUUUUUUGGUUGGGUUUUUAUGAAAGAGUCAACACAAAUCGAUUUUGCUUUCGUAACAGACGUUGGUGUGAGCAACAACUAUUCCACCAACUUGUCCACUUGAUGUUCAAAAAAUAAUGGAACCCAGGAAUUAUCUCCACAUAACAACAACAAAAAAAAAUAUUCAAAUUUAAUUAAUGUGACAAAUUGUAUCAAUGUGAAGCGUGUACACCACGAGCUUUCCACCUUCUUUUACUCCCUAGGGAUGAUCAUCGCUCAUAGGUCAUAUCAAAAUUUUCACCAAAAUAUUUGGAAAAAUAAAAAAUGAAAAAAGAAUUUAGAAUGCCCAUGUUGCCGAUUGACUAAUAAUCAAAAUCUUAAUUAUAUGAGUAGAAUGGCAAAUAGCAUGAUAUGAUUUGGAAGACGAAAAUAUGACGGGGAUAUGAUAUUUCAUUAGAAUUAAUUAAUUAAUUAAUAACAACUUGUUUGGUGGUGUGUUUAGCUACAACAACAAUAUUAAUAAUAGUGUUAACAAUUUUUUUUUUUUGAAUUCUGUUAUAUACAAUCGUACUAAACAACUGGGAUUACCGCCAUACAUUAAUCUACUGAAGCACUUGUCCAAAUACUUUAAACUCUCUCUAAUAUUCGAUGAGUACAUAUUUCACUCACAUUUCGUAAGGGAGAGACUGUCUUCACUCAAUUAGUUGAUAAUUGAGUGAGUACUGAAACUAACCUCUAUAAUGCUCUUAUAGAAGCUCGGACCCUUAUACUCAACUUUAUAAAUGCAAGACUUCUCUCAUUGGACCAAAGGACCAUUGGUAGUGUUAACAAUUUUUUAAAACUAAAAGUUUGGGCAAUGGAUAGAAACAUUGAACAUUAGAAUGUUAUAAUAAGCUGUGUUUCAACUUGGAAUUUUAUAACAAAAGUAAGGCACAAAAUAAGGGGGGAAAGCAUAGCGCAUUCUUCAUCAAAUUUCCUAUAAUGAUACGAAAAAUCUUAAAAUGAUAUGAAAUUAACCCACUUGUUUUUAUUUGAAGGCUUUUUCGCUUAAGUAGUCCGAUACUCUUUGACGAUCUCUAAUUUGGAUUAAGAAAAUAAUCUACACUAAACCGAUGUAUAGAAAAUUAAUAAUCCUCAUCUUGAUCUAGAUAGAUUACUGAAGCACCUUGAGAAAAAAACAACACAACUAAUAAACAAAUAUCACCAUUGAUUAAUUUAUACUAAAAAUCCAGAUAGAUUUUUUUUUUUUUUUUUAAUUUGCCAAAAUUAAGCUGCGGGGUCAGUGGAAGCAUUAUUUCCUCUGAUAGAUAUUAAUACGGCCAGAAGCAACAUGCAAGUGGGCGAUUAAACAGAAACGUGUUUUUUAUCUUCCAAAAGAAAAAAAAGAAAAAGAAAAAUAUAUAUAAAAAAUACAAGUUUUUGCUUUUUGAAAUUUUCCAAUUCAUUUUCUUUUUGUCGUUUUCGCAACUCUCUCUCGAUGUUCCCUGCGUACGCCAAAUUCUAAUGCAUGCACCUCUUUUUCGCCUUUAUUUAUUUAUUUAUUUGGCAAAAGACGAAUUUUCACCAUUUACCUUUCUUCACAUUCCCUCACUCCACCAUUUUUUGUUGGAUAAACUCUUGGUAAGACGUCACAUCUUGCGGAAGAUUCCAGCAAGCGCGGCAUUUCUUCUUUUCUUAAUUAAUUAAUCUACCCUCUCUUCUUUAUUGAUUUCACAAUGUUGCCAUUUUGCCCUAGUAGCCAUGGUAAAAUACUUUUCUCUUCCACCAAGAGAUUCUUUCUCACACAACAUGGAGUAAAAACUCGUUUAUUUUCUAUAAUACGAUAUUAGUGCCUGUUUAGUUUUAUGUUUGUUAAAAUAUCUCAAAACAUCUUUAUUAUCAAACUAUUGACACCCAUGUCAAUGCCGUUAUUUUUUGUCUUUUAUAAAUUAACUUUCUAAUAUAUUAACAUUAAUAAAAAUAUAUAUAUAUUAACUCCUCACAGAGUGUUCCACAAAAAUUAAUAUAUGUUUUCUUUUUAUUUUUAUUUUUAGAGUUAAAUUGGUAAUUUAAUUUUUUUCUUUUUAUUAAUGUAAAAAAAAAGGAAUGCUACAAUAUUAUAAAAGUAAGUUAAAUGGAACAAAAAUUAAUGUUUUUAAUAAUACAGGAAUUAAUCGAACAUUUUUACCCAACAUAAAAUAUUAUGUCGACUAUUUAACAAGUCAAUCACGUUCAUUUAUAUCUACUUUUUUACAAUUUUGAUCCAUGUAAUUGGAAGGUUAUCUCUGAAGUAGCUCUAUUAGUAAAGCUUCUAUUUAUAAAAAAAAAGUAAUACAUUAGUGAAAUUUUGUAGCCAAAUAUAAGUACAGUAAAAUCUAUUUAUAGUCAUAUUAUUGAAACUAGAGAAAUUUAUUCUUAUAAGGAGACUAUAACUCAAUAGAAGUAUAGUACAAAAAUUAUUAUCUUUACUUAAUUAUUCCUAAUGCAAGUGAUAUAGAGGUAAAUUAUGUCAUGUAUUAAUAAUCAAUUGGAUAUUAAUGUCUUCAUCAAUCAUCCAAGUGAACAAUAAGUUGGGUAUGCUUUAAUUGAAGAAGAAAUUAUUGAUACAAUUAGAUAAGAAGAGAAAUGGGAUAAUCCUGAAGAUGACAGUACAUAAAUACACAAAAGUUUCAUGCCAAUAAGCUACAAACAUACUUGAGAAAUUAUAAAUAUUUUAGAUUCAACAAGAAGAUGCCUAUGUUGACCAAUUAAUGCAUACCCGCAAGUUGAAAGAUGUGGUUACAGCUUUAAAGAACAAAUCAUUGUCCCAAGAAACUUUAAAAAUAUAUUUUGUUCCAGCUUAAUUAUUCAAUGGAACAUGGCAUAUAUUUUUGAAAUAUUAUUAUUAUGUGGAGGUAAGUUUAUUUAAGACGAGACCUACAAAAAAAUAUAACUUAUUACAAUGUAAAGUUUAUUCCUAAUUAUAACUAGUCUCAAGUUGGGGCCACAAUUUUUUAUUACUAAAUAUUCUUAUUUAAAUGUUUUACUAUAGAUAACAAUAGGAAAAUUUCACUCAAGUUGAGUUGGAUAACAAAUUAAAGUGAGAAAUAUUUGUAAAUCGAUGUUGUAAUUUGACCAAAACUAGAGAGAGAGAGAGAGAGAGAGAGAAUUUGUAUUCUAAUUGGAAAUAAACAAAUUUUUUUUAUUAAAAGGGGCUCAUCAAGACGAGCUAGACAGGAACAAGGCGGGGUUGACAAACCCCAAACAUAUCUUGCGAAAUAAUAGAAUAAAUACCCACAUAUGGGUUAGAGAAUAAAUGUAAGCCAUGUGGUACUAAGUGAGUCAUAUUUGCCAUGAAAUCUGCAACUGAGUUUGCUUCACGGUAGAUAUGCGAGAUAUAAAUCUGUCAAUUCCUGUUUAAAAAAUCACGAAUUGCCACCACUAACGCGUAGAAAACAUUAGGCACGACCACCUGCUGAGAGAUCAUCUGAGUUACACAGAGGUUGUCUACUUCCACCAAGAGAUGUCUGAUGCCAGCAUUCCAGGCAAGGGAUAAUCCUUGAUACAAGCUCCAAAGUUUAGCCAUAAUCAUUGAGCUUUCCCCAAUAUUCAUACUAAAACCUGAGAUCCAGUUGCCAAAAGAAUCGCGAAUAACCCCACCCGCUCCAGCUUCUCCUAUAUUUUUACAGGAACCAUCUGUGUUCAACUUACACCAAGGCCAUGGAGGAGGCAACCUACCAAUAAAAAUCUCCUUACGUCUUGGUUGUUGGCUAAGAUGAGAGUUAUUAAUUCUAUGAAUCUCACUGGCUCUGGCCAUAAUAUCCGAAUAUAUUGUCUUGCUAUCUACCAAAUUCCCAGCCAUAAUAAAGUGAUUCUGCCAAAACCAUAACUUUCAAAUAGCCACUCCAAAAAUACAAUCCCAAGAAAGCUCAAAAUCAAUUCUCCACUUGUUUUGCAUGUUGGCAGCAACUCAUGCACGUAAGUUAGAUUGGAAGAAAGAGAGUUGAUGACAAGCUAGAACAAGUCGAAGCCAUAGAUUCUUAAUGCAACUACAAUCUCUCACAGCAUGAAGAAUGUCCUCAGCCGAAACCCCACACCUAACACAAACAUCAGAAACGGGAAUAUUACGCCUAUUGAGCUCACUGUGGGUCUUCAAUUUGCCAUGCAAAAUCUGCCAAAUAAAGAGCUUUAUAGAUUGGGGCCCUUUCCAAGACCAUGGCAAGUUCCAUACUUUAUCUUGAGCAUCCAAGUUAUGAUGACAUAGAGACUCAUAAGCGGAUCGAACAAUGAACAUCCCUCUUGGAUUGAAACACCAAUAAAGUCUAUCAGGACCAAGAUGCGGAGCAGGAGGCAUGAUAGAAGCAAUCUGCAUAAGAAUAAAAAGGGGCAGCAGGAGUUCAAAGUUUGACCAUCUCCAGCCAUCAUGUUCAUUAGUAAAUUCACUGAUAGUGGCAUUGAGAGAGACCUGAGGGAUCGGUUGGAGAGCUGGCGAAUCAAAGGAUCAUAUUUCGUCACCCAACAGUCCAACCAGAACUGAAUUCUAGCACCAUUACACACUGUCCAGCAAGCUCCAUGGAUGGUUGCAUCCUACGUUUUCCUUAUAGCAGACAAGAUACGCGAUCCUUAUUUGUCAGGGAGGGAAGACGGCAAAUUGCAUGGGUGGGUCCAAUCCAUAUUUGGAACAGAGAACCCUCACCCACAACGUAUCCGAGUUGGAAAUAAUGCCCCAACUAAUCUUCAUCAACAGGGCAUGAUUCAUCACCUCUAAAUUUUUAAAACCCAAGCCACCACGUGAUUUUGGCAAGCAAAUUUUAUCCCAGCCCACCAUGCACAUCUUGUGACUCUUCGACUUCCCAUCCCAAAUAAAUCUACGGCAGCACUUAUCAAUUCUAUGGCGCACCGAUGAAGGAAGCAUGGUCGUUUGCAUUGCAUAAAUUGGCAUAGCUUGAAUCACCGAUUGCGCCAAAGUAACACGACCAGCAAAGGAUAAAUGAGCCGCAUUCCAGCCACUGAGCCUCAUGUCCACCUUGUCUAAAAUAGAUUGGUAAGUAGCUUUAUUCACCCUCGAAUGAAGUAACGGCACUCCAAGGUAGCUUCCCAAGUCAUGAGUAAUCGAAACCCCCAAGGCAGCACCAAUGAGCUUUGCCUCUCUUGAAGCAACAUUCUUCGAAAAGAAAAUUGUAGUUUUCGCUUUAUUAACCUUUUCUUAAGAACUUCGACAGUAGUUCUCCAAAACCGCAUCAAUAAUAUGAGCUUGAUCAAUUGAAGCUUCUGCAAAUAAGAGCAAAUCGUUAACAAAAAAAAGGUGGGUAAGGGGAGUGCCAUGUUUAACCAACCGAAUUGGCUUCCAACUUCCAUCCACCACAGCUUGGGAUAUUUCAUGGCCCAAACGCUCGAUGCAGAGCAUAAAUAUAUACGGAGAUAGAGGGUCACCCUGCCGAAUACCUCUUCCCGGAUAAAACUCUUCAGUUACCCCACCAUUCCACAAAAUGUUCAUGCUAGCUGAGGUAACACAUUCAAUGAUGAGCCGAGAUAAGUGAAUCGGGAGCCCCGUCUGUUGAAGAGUUUCAAAAAUAAAAGACCAGUUCAGCCAAUCAUACGCCUUCUCGAGAUCCACCUUAAUAGCCAUGAGCCCUAUUUUACCAGUUUUCCUGCGCAUGGAGUGAACCACUUCCUGAAACAUAGUGAAUAGAAUACAAGUUAGGUGAUUCUGCGGAAAUUUUUGUGCAGUCAAUUUAGCUCACCACCUCAUAUAAUUAGGUAGCCACAAAGACAAUCCACAUGCUUUUAGAACUCGUAAAAAUGCUUUACAGGAAACCACCAAGAAUCACAUGUGAUUAAAUAUGCCCAAAAAAAAGCCUAAUUUCAAAUCUCUUCAACCUAACCUUAGACCAAAUUUUACGGUUACUUGUUUAUAUAAGAUUUCCCAUGCAUUGAUAGCGCUUCCGGAUUUUAAACCACCACUAAUUGGUAGCUCAUAUAAUUUGCCAAAUAAAAUAACCCCAAUUAGUAUGUAUCAUUAUUGUGAAUUCCCAAUAACUUCAACAAAUAACUAUUUUUGAAAAGGAGAAAUUAUAAUUGUUGUAUUAUUAUGACAUAAAUAACAAAAUCUUCAUUGGGAGGCCCAUUACGAAAAGGAAUUAAAAGAUUGAGAAAAAAAAAUGAUGAUGAAAAUUUGUACAAGUGUAGUCCAUGCAGACUCGCAGAGCGCAAAUGCGGUAACUCCAUCAAAACGAACCACAUGACGCCAUUCUCUCACCUGACCCACACGGCUCCAACCCUCACCGGCCCCCCAAUUGUAAUUAGCCCCCUUUUUAAUCAAGCCCAAAAUUGUCAAAAAAUGUUUCCGCCUGAAUUCCCAUUUUUACCCUCUUCAUUUCAAUUUCUUUUCACUUUUGCCAUUUUGUCGCCGGUACCGUCCUUCAUCUCACCCACCACCCACCUCAAUCGAAUCAUCGCUUCUCUUGUUGAACAAUUAAUUUAAUACUUGUUUCAAUAUUUUUAAGUAUGGAAAUAAAUCUUAUAAGUCAAGUAAUCUUAUAGAUGAGUAGAUUUUGCAAAUCCCUUGUACAAAAUAAGACAUACAUGCUAUAACUCAAGCAUGUUUUGUUUUAUUGUUAAAUUAUUUAAAAUAAUAAUAAUAGUAAUAAUAAAAAAAUUACUUCUAUUAAUGCAUUUGUUUACAUCUGAACGGGUCACGUAACAUCCUCAUAAAUGGAUUUUAAAUGCAUGAACAUUAUAAUGUCACAAGAUAUUGUUGUUCGAUAAAAAUAAAAAAUAAAUAAUAAGAAUAAUAUAAAAUUAAUAAUAAGAAUAAUAAUAUUAUUAUUCUAAAAUAUCAUUAUCGUUAAACCAUAAUAUAAUUAUUGCCAUCACUAAAUUAGGUCAAAAUAAUGAAAUCAAGAAUACUAAUUGUUAAGUUAACAUGUAAUUCAUGCUGUCACAUAAAGGCGAGAGCAAUAAAAAUAAGAUUAUUUAGGUAAAGUGCAGUUUGUAAAAUUAGUUAUUUUUAAAUGUUCAGAUCACAUAAUAGUCAAUAAAUAAAUUUUAAAUAUAUGAAUGUUAUGAUGUCAAAUAAUAUUGUCAAUCUGUAUAAACGUUAUAAAAUCUCAUGAUAAUAUCAUUUUUAAGUAUAAUAUAUACUCUCGUAUGAAUCGCACUCACUUUGUAAUACCAGAUAGUAAUAACUGAAAUUGGAAGUUUCAAUAACAUGAGUUUGCUACCAAGAUUAUCAAGAGUACAUACAUGAUCAGGGUAUAAAAAAUUAAAAAGAAAAAAUUAGUGUUUAUCAUUCAUGGCAUUUAGUCGGUUUAGGUGUAGCUCUUGAACCAAAAUGUAAUUACCGCGCCACUCGAGGUUAAAAUAGUCUAAUAACAUCUCUCUACAAUAUAAAGCCGUCUACCCUCCGCCAACCCUUGAACCUCAUCAUUCACUAGACACUGAAGAAUCCAAAACUCUCUCAAGCCAACAAAAGCAAAUUUUUAUAUUUAACCCAUUCUCUUCUAAAAAUCUUUUCUCUUUAGUCCCUGAACAAACCAGAAGAAACGAUAAACCCUUAACCAUGUGUGGAGGUGCUAUCAUUUCGGGCUACAUCCCGCCCACCGUGCCGGGCCGGCCAAAGAAGCUGACGGCGGAGUAUCUCUGGCCGGAGCUGAAGAGGUCAUCGAAAUUAAAAAACUUGGAAGCGUUGGAUUUGAGUGAUAAUUAUAUUAUACACGGUUCUUUAGAAGGUAAUUUUUUUAAUUAAACAAUUUACACAGUUAAUUUUCAUUCAAUAUUUAUCAUAUUAUUUAAUUAAACAAUUUAGAUGAGAGUGACUUAAUUAUUAUUGAUAAAAUUUAUAUUUUUUUAAUAAGAUUAGCAAAUUUGACAAACCUGCAAGUGUUGAAUUUAAGCGAUAAUGAAAAUUUGACAGCGCUAGGUAAGCCACUCAAAUCUAUGUAAGCCAUUUAUUUAAAAAUUUUACCUUGGCUUUCUAAAGAACCGUUUAUAUUAUUGUCACUCAAAUACAAUGCUUCCAAGCUUUUCAAUUUAACUAUUUUUUAAAUAAUUAAACUAUUUAUCAAAAUUCAAAUAUUACUUGGCCAUGUUACGGAUAAGCUUAUACUAUUUUGGAAAAAAAUAGAGGAAUAGAAGAAUUAAGUCAAUAAAUUUUAAAAAAUGUUUAUAAUCUUUGGGUUGUUAUAUACAUUUAUCAAUAAUACUUUAAAAACACUAAAAAGAGAGGGUUGUCGAAAACUUUUUCUAAAUUCGACAUUAAUAGGAAGUGAAUUGCUGUAGACCUUGAAUUGUGGUUAUUCCACAAUCACGAAGAUCCAAUGCUUUUGAAUGAAAAUAUUACAUUCAAAGCAUUGUAUGUAAUCCGUGCACUUGAUAAACAUUAAUUCUUAAUUUGCUUCUUAUCUCAGACGUUGUGGCUUACCUAGCGUUGUCAAAUUUUCAUUAUUAUCGCUUAAAUCAAACACUUGCAGGUUUGUCAAAUUUGCUAAUCUUGUUUAAAAAAAUAUAAAUUUUUUCAAUAAUAGCUAGGUCACUCUCAUCUAAAUUGUUUAAUUAAAUAAUAUGGUAAAUAUUGAAUGAAAAUUAACUGUGCAAAUUGUUUAAUUAAAAAAAUUACAUUCUAAAGAACCGUGUAUAAUAUAAUUAUCACUCAAAUCCAACGCUUCCAAGUUUUUUAAUUUAGCUAAUCCUGCACCAAGAAAGAAGAAAAAUUUUAUUAAUCAUCUUUGGAAAAAAAAAGAAUUAAGAUUAAGAAAAAAAUUUCAAAGUUAGAUUAAAUAAUUGUAGUAAUAUUUUUUUUUUGGUAGCUUAUUUUCUGUUUUUUAUUUUAAUUUUUAACAAGUUAUGGAAUUUGAGUAGAUGCUUUGAUCUUCACUUUCCUUUGUCUUUAUUUUAGGGGUAAAAAUAAAUUUUUAUGACUUGGCGCUGAUUGUCAUCUAAAGUUCUGAUUUUUGUUUUGUAUAAAAGAAGUUUCUUGUUGGGUUGGAGUUUAAAGUCCUUGUUGGCUUUUGAUCCUGGUUUGUGGAUCAUUUGUUCCAAUCAAGCUUUUCUUUUGUCCUUGAAUUGACAUUUUUAAUUUGUGCUGUUGGAAGUUAGUUUUGUGAUGCAGAUGUUCGAUGAUAAUUCUGAUGAUCAUAUUUUAGAGAUGUUCUUUCUUGGAAUUUUUUCUUCUUUGUUUAGAUAGAUGGGAUGUCCAGACUUGCAUAGAUUAUUCACUAGUUUGCUUGCUCAGUCAAAUCAAGCAUCUAUUGACAUGAUCUAUUAUAUUGGUUGGAUUAGAGGUUUCUGUUGCUUAGCUUUAUAAAAUGGAAGCUUAAAGUUUUCCUCCUUUUUUUUUUUCUAUAUUUUGUUUUAUGUGAAAUGGUUGAAAUUUUCGGUUCUGGGAUCUUAAGAGGAGAUAAAAUUAUCACUUGAUCUACCUUUUUGUGUAACCAUUUGGUAGUAAUUUUUUCAGUUAUCUCUUUGUCAUUUGUUUGGUUUUUAGUGUGUUGCAGUUAUAUAGAUAGGGAAAAUUCAUUUUUCUGAUCUUGUAAUGGAAAACAAUGGAUUUCUUGUUGUACAUAGAAUUGUUUCUGGGCUUGCUGCUCUGUUAAAGGCGGCACACCCUGAUUGGAGCCCUGCAGCAAUAAGGUCUGCAUUGAUGACAACUGCUUAUACAGUUGAUAAUCGGGGUGAGACGAUGAUUGAUGAGUCUACUGGGAAUACUUCCACUGCGUUAGAUUUUGGAGCUGGUCAUGUUCACCCCCAAAAGGCAAUGAAUCCUGGGCUGAUUUAUGAUUUGACUUCAUAUGAUUAUGUGAAUUUCUUGUGCAAUUCAAAUUACACGGUUAAUAAUAUUCAAGUGAUCACUAGGAGAAAAGCAGAUUGCAGCGGAGCAACAAGAGCUGGUCAUGUUGGGAAUUUGAAUUACCCUUCAUUGUCUGCAGUGUUUCAACAAUACGGCAAGCAUAAGAUGUCUACGCAUUUCAUUAGGACGGUGACUAACGUCGGAGAUCCUAAUUCGGCUUACAAAGUUACAAUCAGGCCACCCAGUGGCAUGACAGUGACAGUACAGCCGGAGAAGCUUGUGUUUAGGCGGGUGGGACAGAAAUUGAACUUUCUGGUUAGAGUUGAAGCAACGGCAGUUAAGCUCUCCCCCGGGAGCUCAAGCAUGAAGAGUGGUAAAAUAGUAUGGUCAGAUGGGAAGCACAAUGUCACUAGUCCCAUAGUCGUGACAAUGCAUGCAAGAUUAUGAUCUUACUUUUACUCGCCGCCUUUAACUUUUGUUCAAACUAUUUCAAAUAAAAAACUAUUUUGAGUCCUUCUAAAUGUUGGCAAAUUUGGGUCACAUAUGAAUCCUUCAAAUAAAUGAC